GGCGCAGGGAGGCACGGGGUUCUCCAUGGGAACGCUUGCUCUGGCCGCCGCCGCAGCCGGACCCCCGCUCAGCAGCCCACCAUGACCGCGCCCUGACUCAGCCUGCUCAAGGUCGACUGUUCCUCUGGGGCCCUAGCUGCACGGACUUUUCCUGGCCCGAGAUCAAAUUUCACUUUUGUGUGCACAGUUCCUCUGGCUCACACACGGCUCCCCUCUCCCGCAAGGAGGAGUGUGUCGGUCCUGUGUGCACUCUCAGCUGAACUUCUGGAGGGCAGGCACGUCAGCGUUGGCUAGCCCAGUGCCAGGGUCUCAGUGGCUGCUUCUCCAGGCCGGUGCACGGAUGCUUCCCUGCAGGAGAUUUCCAGCAGAGGUGGUUUGACUCCGUCCCACUGACGCCUCUUCACCAGGCGCCCCGUGCGCCCCGGCUGGGAUUAGAGCCAGUCACGCCAGCCUCCCUGCGAUGGAGCCGAGACAGCCCCUCCCAGCUCAGCCACACGACCAGCCCUACGCCCAGCAACCAGGUUUGCUCCAGGCAGAGUCCAGCACAUAGCUGGCCUUCCCCGUGCCUCGUUCAGCAGUGCACGGCCUCAGGUCGGCUCUCUGCCUGCAGUGACACAGCAGCCUUCGAGCUGAACAGAAGGAGAAAGGGCCCUGCCUCAGUGGAUCAGGGAGCAGAAGUCAAAGGAAAGCUUGUCUUCAGCAGAACAAAAGGAAGCCAACACACAGAGCAAAACCUAGGAGCUGGAUCAAGCCAUGCUUACAGCCAGCUUCACCCUGGGGCUUCUGAGGUAUGUGAGCUAAUAAAUUCCAUUUGUAACGUAAGCUAACUUGUGUGGGAUUCCCAUCCCUGGAAACU
This 856-nucleotide long non-coding RNA is filed under the name Ursus maritimus (polar bear). Its description in RNAcentral is "lncRNA (ENSUMAG00000023223.1)". The record is from RNAcentral. Lineage: Eukaryota; Metazoa; Chordata; Mammalia; Carnivora; Ursidae.